RNAcentral lists this ribosomal RNA (406 nucleotides) under uncultured bacterium. RNAcentral describes it as "partial 16S ribosomal RNA". It matches the Rfam family "Bacterial small subunit ribosomal RNA", at positions 30 to 526 of the family's 1533-position model. The record is from RNAcentral.
AUUGAACGCUGGCGGCAGGCAUAACACAUGCACGUCGAGCGAGCGGCGGAAGGGUGAGGAAUGUCUGGGAAACUGCCUGAGGGAGGGGGAUGACUAAUGGAAAAGGUAGCUAAUACCGCAUACCAUCAGAUGUGCCCAGAUGGGAUUAGCUAGUGGGUGGGGUAAUGGCUCACAUAGGCGACGAUCCCUAGCUGGUCUGAGAGGAUGACCAGCCACACUGGAACUGAGACACGGUCCAGACUCCUACGGGAGGCAGCAGUGGGGAAUAUUGCACAAUGGGCGCAAGCCUGAUGCAGCCAUGCCGCGUGUGUGAAGAAGGCCUUCGGGUUGUAAAGCACUUUCAGCGAGGAGGCGUUACUCGCAGAAGAAGCACCGGCUAACUCCGUGCCAGCAGCCGCGGUAAUAC